UGGAUGAAUUUGGAAACAUGGAUGAGGAC
Molecule: non-coding RNA, 29 nt
Filed under: Homo sapiens (human)
Lineage: Eukaryota; Metazoa; Chordata; Mammalia; Primates; Hominidae
Source: RNAcentral